RNAcentral lists this ribosomal RNA (254 nucleotides) under uncultured bacterium. RNAcentral describes it as "partial 16S ribosomal RNA". It matches the Rfam family "Bacterial small subunit ribosomal RNA", at positions 524 to 776 of the family's 1533-position model. The record is from RNAcentral.
UACGUAGGGCGCAAGCGUUGUCCGGAAUUAUUGGGCGUAAAGAGCUCGUAGGCGGCUUGUCACGUCGGGGUGUGAAAGCCCGGGGCUUAACCCCGGGUCUGCAUUCGAUACGGGCUGGCUGGAGUGUGGUAGGGGAGAUCGGAAUUCCUGGUGUAGCGGUGAAAUGCGCAGAUAUCAGGAGGAACACCGAUGGCGAAGGCAGGUCUCUGGGCCACUACUGACGCUGAGAAGCGAAAGCAUGGGGAGCGAACAGG